AUAUCUGUAGCUUAGUGGUUAUAGCAAUGGGCCCAUGACUCAUUAAUUUCAGUAGUUCAAAUCUACUCAGAUAUA
This is a transfer RNA of Babesia microti strain RI, 75 nucleotides long. It matches the Rfam family "tRNA". From Rfam's summary of the family: Transfer RNA (tRNA) molecules are approximately 80 nucleotides in length. Lineage: Eukaryota; Apicomplexa; Aconoidasida; Piroplasmida; Babesiidae. The record is from Rfam.